UGAGCCCCGCGAAUUGAGGAAGAGGAGCGCUUAUCGCCCCUCCACAACUCUGGUAUUAACCAUUUCUGCGGUGGUGCUUUCCUCGGACUCGCUGCAUGUGCUCCUCUUCGCACCGCAGAGAGCCUCGCAGCUCCGACCUUUACUUAAGGACGGAUCCUUGCUCGGACUGUUCGUGGGCCCAUUUCUUAGCCUUCGCGGCCCAAACCCUCAAAACCGAGGGUGAAGAGCGAAAUUAGUAGGUUGGCGAAAAAAGUAAAUGACUUUGCGAUGUUAAUGGAUUUUUUUUUCAUUCCUUUACUUCCUCUCCAUUCUCUUGGACCAGAAAUCCAAUUUUUAAAAAAAUACCAAGAUUCCUGCCCUGUUUCACAAGACUACAAAUCUCUGUACAAUGGGAGGUUAUGUCUCGAGGGCUGAAGAAGAAAGAUUAUAUAACUUUUAUUUCAUUCAUUACAGUAAAUGUGCAUUCUCUAAUUAUAGCCAAAUAAUGGUAUAUGAUACAAGAAUGUAAUUGUUUAUUGUGGCGCUCAUGCUAGCUACUGGUGUUCAGGAAAUUGUGUAGAAGACCAUUUAUUACAUUUAAGCAGACAAUUAAUCCUUAUUUCCGUAAGGUGUAAUGUGUGAAGAAUCACUUCAGUCUCUGACAAACUGUUGCCUCUGAUGUUUUUCAUGCCUACAUAUGUUUCAAUUUCCCUAACUAGCUUUCCUAAUAUAUUCUGCACUAAAUCUAUUUAUUGGGAUGUUUUUACCAAUCAUUUAGAGUGAUUUAAUUUCAGAUAAUGCUGCCUUAUAUUGAUGGCAAGCAUUUUUUUUAAUCACACAUUUUAAAUUCUCUGGGCCUGAAACUAUACUUUAUCUCUCGCUCUAGAAUUUUUUGGGGACACAGGAAAAAAAAAUUUAAGUGAAAGAGAAUUGAGGAAAAUGCUGAGGGGAAAAAUGUAAAUUAGAAUUCUAUACCCAGCAAAAGAAGGAUGGAAAGAAGAUACUUUUUCAGCAAACAACCACUGAUAGUUUGUUAUCCACAAACUCGUGUGUAUGUGUGUGACUAGACAUAAAGAAUGGUCUCUACAUAAUGAGAAAAGGUUCAAUGCAUAGGGAAGAUACAAGAAUUGUAAAUGUGUCUGUCCCUAAUAAAAUGGCCACAAAAUAUAUGAAGCAAAAAUUGAGAACACAAGAAAAAAGAGAAAUCUUCCAUUGGAGUAGGUGAUUUGUAACAUCUCUAAUAAACCAAGGGGACAGAAAAAUCAUUAAGGGACUAGAAGAUUUGAAUAACACGAUUACUGAGCUUGAUGUGGAUGCAGAAUAUUGAACUCAGCAACUGCAGGAUGCACAUACUUUUCAAGAACAUGUGGAAUGUUUACAAAAACUGAACAUAUGGGGUCCUAAAGCAAGUCUCUCUACAUGUCUACGGAUUGGAAUAAAGACGAACACAUUCUCUGACUACUAUAUAGCUGCUAGCCUUGCCCCUCUACCACCCUGACUAUCUUGAAACGAAUCUUGCAGCUGUGGGACUGCAGAGAAAACUCCAACUACAGGAAAAGAAGAAAGGGUAACGAAUGAAAUUGCCCUGGGGGUGAGCAGUAAGAGGAAAGAAGAAGAGAGGAAAAAAAUGAAAGAUAUCCACAAACCACACCUGCCUCUUCUAAACAGAACAAAAAGCAACCACCUCUGGAAGUCAUGAGCACUCUGCUUCAGAGUACAGAGAGGACCUGAGCAACAGAAGCACUUAACUGAGAGAGAAGACAAAUUAAUUAACUUCUCAAAUCCUUUCCACUUGGCAUUAAUGCAAUAGAUUCUUGCAUAACAAAAUAUCAUUUCCCUGUUAUGCCAGAUGUCCAUUUUCAACUUCUCAUUCAUAGUCCUGAAGGUACUCACUGUAUUAAAGCAAUUUGAUUUAGUCAAGAUAUGAUGCACUGGAAGAGGUAAGUGAAACAGUAGAUCCUCAGAUAUGAGGGAAUUGCAGUCUUCAGUGAAAAAUGAAGCUACUUUGGCAUUUGCAUUAGGUGCACUUAUUUGGUAUGAACUGUUGCUUACAAAAGAAGUUGAUCUAUUUCACUUUUAAAAGGUUAAUUUUUUUAAUUUUUAAAGAAAAUGUUUUUUCUAACUUAAAAGAAACGUGUAAAAUGCACAAUGGAAGAUAUAAGAAAAAUAGAAACAAAAAUGUUUGCAUGAUUAUGAGGAUGAUUCAAAUGCAAAAUUUCCCCAAGCCAAUUUUUAUAGAGACUAUUUUUGGCCAUUAUAGAUUAAUAUAAACUGGAGAAACACUAAUAAAUUGAAUAACAUCUGUUUUCAGUUUUCUUUAUUAUAUCCCAGCAUUGAAGUAUUUGAAAGGGAAAUAUUUAAAAAUACUAUACAGAUCUAGAUGUUGCUUUAGGCCUGUUUAAUUUCAUGAAACCCAUGAUAUUAGUGAUAGCAAUUUAUAUAGUGAGUUUAAAAUAUGUUGUAUAAUUUUGUAGUGACAAAUAAUUAUAUGCCACCCAACCCUAUCAAAAUCUUUGAGCCUGAUAUAUUAAAUUUAUGGUUCAUUUCCAAUCUAAGUAUUGUUUUAAAAAUGUAAUUGACAAUUCCAGUUGCUACUAUUUUGGCAGAACAUAGUUUCUCCAUUCUGAAGUUAAUGAAAAACAACCUAAGGACUACAGUGUCUCCAGAAAGGUUGUCUAAUUUGUCAUUACUCUCAAUAGAACACAAAUUGUGUGAAAGUCUUUGUUCUAGUUUGCUAAUGCUGCCGGAAUGCAAAACACCAGAGAUGGAUUGGCUUUUAUAAAAGGGGGUUUAUUUGGUUACACAGCUACAAUCUUAAGGCCAUAAAGUGUCCAAGGUAACACGUC
Choloepus didactylus (southern two-toed sloth) is the source of this 2825-nucleotide long non-coding RNA. RefSeq lists it as uncharacterized. The record is from RefSeq and is a predicted model, not a curated record. Lineage: Eukaryota; Metazoa; Chordata; Mammalia; Pilosa; Megalonychidae. The transcript has 4 exons.